Molecule: long non-coding RNA, 1139 nt
Filed under: Sus scrofa (pig)
Lineage: Eukaryota; Metazoa; Chordata; Mammalia; Artiodactyla; Suidae
Description: lncRNA (ENSSSCG00035042382.1)
Source: RNAcentral
UUCUGCAUUAAGAAGAAUGUCUUGGAUCUUGCCUACAUUCCAGGGACCCUGCCUGAGCUGCUGCUGCACCCCUAUUAUUUUGACCACUCCAGGUUAUUGCAAGAUGUUCAGUAUAGUUGCCUGUGCUCUACAUUAUAGGAUCACAAGUCCUCUUGGCAUGAGGGCUGUGGAAGUGCCGUGGCAGAAAUGAUGAAGACGACGCCGGGAAAGUAAGAAAGGUUCCAGUUUCUGCAGUCGUGGGAGUCCGAAAGCAGUGUGAUCACUCUCAGAUCUAAAAGUUGUAGAUCCCAAGGGAGGGUUACUGACACCAAGGAAUGCAACGGAUGCAGUUAAGGAGGAAGUUGAGACUGUCACCUGGUCACUUUGACUUGUUACUGAAGCCACAGUCAUGUGUUUCAGAUACCAGGAAUCAUCAGAACAUGCUGGUGUGAACAGUUAAGAAACAGAACUGUUUCAGAGUCCUGUUUUGCUACAGUGUUCUAUACUGAGGGGCCACUGAAUAAUAUAAUUAAAACAGGCUGCAGAAAAGGCUCAAGAUGGUGGAGUAGAAAGACCCUGAGCUCACCACCUCUUACGGGUACACCAAGAUGACAAUUUACAGAACUAUCAAUGAAAAAGACUUGAACCUACCAGAAAAUAUAUCCUACAACUAAAGAUAUGAAGAAAGAACACUCAUGAGAUGGGUACGAUGGGCAGAGUUGGGAUAAGGUCAAGACCCAUAUCCCUGGGAAGGCAAUCCACAAAUGGGAAAAAAAUUACACUUGCAGAGGUUCUCCCCAAGGAGCAAGGGAUGUGAACUCCAUAUACUGCUCUCCAGCCUGGGGGUCCUGCCCUGGGGAGGUGAGUCCCCAGAACGUUUGGCUUUGAAGGCCAGUCGGGCUUACUUUUGGGAGACCCAGUGGGCUGUGAGAAAUAGACACUCCACUUUUAAAGAGUGUACAAUGGGUCCCAUUGUGGCUCAGUGGGUUAUAAACCCAACGAGUACCCACCCAUGAGGAUGUGGGUUUGAUCCCUGACCUUGCUCAGUAGGUUAAAGACGCCAGAGCUAUGGUGUAGGUCACAGAUGUGGGUGAGAUUUUGUGUUACUGUGGCCAUGGCUGGCAGCUGCAGCUCUGAUUUAACUCCUAGCCUGAGAACUU